AUAGAUAGUCGGGCUUGAUUGGGAAACAAUAACUUGGUUAAUGUGCUCGUCCUGGGUAAAUAGAGUUUCUAUCAUUUAUGAUAGUUUCUUGUUCCCCGGAUAGUUUAGUUACGUAGCCAAUUGUGGAACUUUGUUGCUUAAAUUUUUAAGAAUAAUAGCCGGGCAACCGAUUAGUUCUUUUAAAUUAUAACGAUUAUCAAUUAACAAUCAAUUCAGAACUGGCACGGACUUGGGGAAUCCGACUGUCUAAUUAAAACAAAGCAUUGUGAUGGCCCUAGCGGGUGUUGACACAAUGUGAUUUUUGCCCAGUGCUCUGAAUGUCAAAGUGAAGAAAUUCAAGUAAGCGCGGGUCAACGGCGGGAGUAACUAUGACUCUCUUAAGGUAGCCAAAUGCCUCGUCAUCUAAUUAGUGACGCGCAUGAAUGGAUUAACGAGAUUCCUACUGUCCCUAUCUACUAUCUAGCGAAACCACAGCCAAGGGAACGGGCUUGGAAUAAUUAGCGGGGAAAGAAGACCCUUUUGAGCUUGACUCUAAUCUGGCAGUGUAAGGAGACAUAAGAGGUGUAGAAUAAGUGGGAGAUAUUAAGCUUCGGUUUGGUAUCGCCAAUGAAAUACCACUACUCUUAUUGUUUCCUUACUUACUUGAUUAAAUGGAACGUGUAUCAUUUCCUAGCCAUUAUACGGAUAUAUUAAUUAUGUCUUAUGGUAUUGGGUUUUGAUGCAAGCUUCUUGAUCAAAGUAUCACGAGUUUGUUAUAUAAUCGCAAACAAAUUCUUUAAUGAGAAAAUGCAUUAAUGUGUUUUCGAUUUAAUAAUUUGGUAUAACUCCAAUUACUCAGGUAUGAUCCAAUUCAAGGACAUUGCCAGGUAUGGAGUUUGACUGGGGCGGUACAUCUCUCAAAUAAUAACGGAGGUGUCCCAAGGCCAGCUCAGUGCGGACAGAAACCACACCUAGANCAAAAGGGCAAAUGCUGACUUGAUCUCGGUGUUCACUACACACAGGGGACAGCAAAAGCUCGGCCUAUCGAUCCUUUUGGUUUAAAGAGUUUUUAACAAGAGGUGUCAGAAAAGUUACCAUAGGGAUAACUGGCUUGUGGCGGCCAAGCGUUCAUAGCGACGUCGCUUUUUGAUCCUUCGAUGUCGGCUCUUCCUAUCAUUGUGAAGCAAAAUUCACCAAGCGUUGGAUUGUUCACCCAUGCAAGGGAACGUGAGCUGGGUUUAGACCGUCGUGAGACAGGUUAGUUUUACCCUACUAAUGACAAAACGUUGUUGCGACAGCAUUCCUGCGUAGUACGAGAGGAACCGCAGGUACGGACCAAUGGCACAAUACUUGUUCGAGCGAACAGUGGUAUGACGCUACGUCCGUUGGAUUAUGCCUGAACGCCUAUAAGGUUGUAUCCGUGCUGGACUGCAAUGAUAAAUAAGGGGCAAUUUGCAUUGUAUGGCUUUUAAACCAUUAAAAGUUCAUAAUUCAUUUUAUGUACGACAAUGGAUGUGAUGCCAAUGUUAUAUAUAACAUAGUAAAUUGGGAGGAUUUUCGAUCACCUGAUGCCGCGCUAGUUAUAUUUUAAAACAUUAUUUAAUACAAUGACAAAGCCUGGAAUCAAUUGUAAACGACUUUUGUAACAGGCAAGGUGUUGUAAGUGGUUGAGCAGCUGCCAUACUGCGAUCCACUGAAGCUUAUCCUUUGCUUGAUGAUUCGA
RNAcentral lists this ribosomal RNA (1702 nucleotides) under Drosophila buzzatii. RNAcentral's name for it is "eukaryotic LSU rRNA". It matches the Rfam family "Eukaryotic large subunit ribosomal RNA", at positions 1962 to 3401 of the family's 3401-position model. Lineage: Eukaryota; Metazoa; Arthropoda; Insecta; Diptera; Drosophilidae. The record is from RNAcentral.